AGUCGUUAGGGAUCUCAACGUUCAUAAACAGAUGACCACGCGAAGGGAGAGACAACGUUCCACGGUCUUCAGCAACGAUGGCGAUCCAAAGGAGAAGGCGGCUGCGGCUAAUUUCAACGAUCAUCUAACAUGUUACAUGGAGAAUAUGCGUUACCUCGAGUCGGGGCUUAAGGUAUCUCCGACUCGAGGUAACGCAUCUUUUCAGAGUAACGCAAUUCAUCAUAGAGAUCAUCAUUCGAGAGGUGUAGCCGUGUACGAGAUCCCGGCAUGGACUCUCCUGGAAGUCUCGUCGUGCAGCUUUCGCGUGUGCAGCGAAAACUGCACGACGAGACGGCCAGAGAACCCGCCAAGCUCGAGAUCGACGCUGGGAUAACGAAGAUUUCAAUAGCAAAUUGGAAAAGAAGACAAAGGACUCGUAGAUAGCAGAGAAGGAAAUUAACCGAUUAAAAGUAUUGCUCGACAUUGAGAAACAGGAACAUAUCGAAUAAUUCUUGUAGUACCUGUCCUCCUCUAAGAAGAUAUUCUGCAGCUACAAGAAUUAUACAACCAAUAUGAGGCACAGAUGCUAAUCGAGAGGAAAUUGAAUUUUUAUAUGAAAACAAGGUCAAGGAUAUGGCAUCUCAUGCUCAACGUAAUAAUGGAACCAUCAGCAUAGCAGAAGAAUUAAGACAGAUACACUUUAGAAUCAAAGCAGCCUACAAUGCACGAAUCGAGUUGAAUAUCAAAUAACCUGAUUCGUGCAUUGUAGGCAGUUUCGAUUUUAUUCUUGCUCUCUGUGUCUGUAAGUUGCAAGCGAAAAGAUAUAAUAUAUGAUAUUAAUUAUGUUAAGAAUAUUUGUAAACCUAAAAGGAAGCAAUAAAUGUUUAUUCAUUCAUUCAAAUACAUUA
This is a long non-coding RNA of Cataglyphis hispanica, 887 nucleotides long. RefSeq lists it as uncharacterized. Lineage: Eukaryota; Metazoa; Arthropoda; Insecta; Hymenoptera; Formicidae. The record is from RefSeq and is a predicted model, not a curated record. The transcript has 2 exons.